This 1327-nucleotide ribosomal RNA is filed under the name Vibrio sp. 6G2. RNAcentral describes it as "bacterial SSU rRNA". It matches the Rfam family "Bacterial small subunit ribosomal RNA", at positions 93 to 1414 of the family's 1533-position model. Lineage: Bacteria; Pseudomonadati; Pseudomonadota; Gammaproteobacteria; Vibrionales; Vibrionaceae. The record is from RNAcentral.
GAGCGGCGGACGCGAUGAGUCAUGCCUAGGAAAUUGCCCUGAUGUGGGGGAUAACCAUUGGAAACGAUGGCUAAUACCGCAUAAUGCCUACGGGCCAAAGAGGGGGACCUUCGGGCCUCUCGCGUCAGGAUAUGCCUAGGUGGGAUUAGCUAGUUGGUGAGGUAAUGGCUCACCAAGGCGACGAUCCCUAGCUGGUCUGAGAGGAUGAUCAGCCACACUGGAACUGAGACACGGUCCAGACUCCUACGGGAGGCAGCAGUGGGGAAUAUUGCACAAUGGGCGCAAGCCUGAUGCAGCCAUGCCGCGUGUGUGAAGAAGGCCUUCGGGUUGUAAAGCACUUUCAGUCGUGAGGAAGGUGGUGUAGUUAAUAGCUGCAUUAUUUGACGUUAGCGACAGAAGAAGCACCGGCUAACUCCGUGCCAGCAGCCGCGGUAAUACGGAGGGUGCGAGCGUUAAUCGGAAUUACUGGGCGUAAAGCGCAUGCAGGUGGUUUGUUAAGUCAGAUGUGAAAGCCCGGGGCUCAACCUCGGAAUAGCAUUUGAAACUGGCAGACUAGAGUACUGUAGAGGGGGGUAGAAUUUCAGGUGUAGCGGUGAAAUGCGUAGAGAUCUGAAGGAAUACCGGUGGCGAAGGCGGCCCCCCUGGACAGAUACUGACACUCAGAUGCGAAAGCGUGGGGAGCAAACAGGAUUAGAUACCCUGGUAGUCCACGCCGUAAACGAUGUCUACUUGGAGGUUGUGGCCUUGAGCCGUGGCUUUCGGAGCUAACGCGUUAAGUAGACCGCCUGGGGAGUACGGUCGCAAGAUUAAAACUCAAAUGAAUUGACGGGGGCCCGCACAAGCGGUGGAGCAUGUGGUUUAAUUCGAUGCAACGCGAAGAACCUUACCUACUCUUGACAUCCAGAGAACUUUCCAGAGAUGGAUUGGUGCCUUCGGGAACUCUGAGACAGGUGCUGCAUGGCUGUCGUCAGCUCGUGUUGUGAAAUGUUGGGUUAAGUCCCGCAACGAGCGCAACCCUUAUCCUUGUUUGCCAGCGAGUAAUGUCGGGAACUCCAGGGAGACUGCCGGUGAUAAACCGGAGGAAGGUGGGGACGACGUCAAGUCAUCAUGGCCCUUACGAGUAGGGCUACACACGUGCUACAAUGGCGCAUACAGAGGGCAGCAAGCUAGCGAUAGUGAGCGAAUCCCAAAAAGUGCGUCGUAGUCCGGAUUGGAGUCUGCAACUCGACUCCAUGAAGUUGGAAUCGCUAGUAAUCGUGGAUCAGAAUGCCCCGGUGAAUACGUUCCCUGUGUUUGAACACUCCGCCCGUCACACCAUGGGAGUGGG